Long non-coding RNA from Anguilla rostrata (American eel), 781 nucleotides. RefSeq lists it as uncharacterized. Lineage: Eukaryota; Metazoa; Chordata; Actinopteri; Anguilliformes; Anguillidae. The record is from RefSeq and is a predicted model, not a curated record. The transcript has 2 exons.
CUGCGAGCCAGACGAACAUGAGUGCUUACCUGUUUUGGACGGCAGUUGACUGUCUUCUCUCUGCACUUGAGUGAUGAUAGAACUUUCCAUCUAACAAAUGCACAGCCUCUCAAAAUCCAAUCCGUUCCCCCCAGACGCAGAGACUUUCGAGGGCGCCUUGAAACUGCUCGUCGUCGCGGAUUGGAUCCCUUGGAAGUGGGAGUACCGGAGGCAUUCUUCUCGGCUCUGCACGCUCCAUACUGAACACAUUCCAGCGCUCGCUUUGUUGCGGGUUUCACCGUCGCAUGAAGCUACAGCUAUCAAUAGCAAUUUAUGGAUGGAGGAUAACUGCAGUUGUUUAUAAGAAAGCUAAAUAACGCUAAUAAGACUACUGUAAAAAAUAUAGUGUCAAAAUAUACUGUUGUUCAGUUAUUUUCUUGGGAACAUGUAACUCGGCGUCUUAUUUAUAGAAUGUAUACGAUUCCAUUUAAAUUAUAUCCGAAACAAACGUUUACCAAUGAAACCUAUGCGCCAUGACGUAGUUGGAUUGUGCAUUGACAAAUCCCCAUUUUGUGUCUGGUGCUCGGAGGACAAAGGAAUAUAUUAGCUUGCUGUCGUUUUAGCUCUUAGCAUUUGGUAGCCUCGGUGUUAGGUGGCUUUGUAUUUUUAAAUACUGUACACAUAAAAAUGUGUAGUGAUUUUGUAUGUGAUCAUUUUCAAUAAUUUCCACGCAUUUAAAAUAUUUAAUUGAAUAUAAUCCCUUGCAUUUUUGCAUUCGCACAAUAAAAUAUUAAAAAGAAAA